GCGGGGGUGCCCGAGGGGACAAAGGGGCCGGAUUGAGGGUCCGGUGGCUUAGUGCCUGCCUGGGUUCGAAUCCCAGCCCCCGCA
Molecule: transfer RNA, 84 nt
Filed under: Methanobacteriota archaeon
Lineage: Archaea; Methanobacteriati; Methanobacteriota
Also listed under: 1 other name
Description: tRNA-Leu
Rfam family: tRNA
About the family: Transfer RNA (tRNA) molecules are approximately 80 nucleotides in length. Their secondary structure includes four short double-helical elements and three loops (D, anti-codon, and T loops). Further hydrogen bonds mediate the characteristic L-shaped molecular structure. tRNAs have two regions of fundamental functional importance: the anti-codon, which is responsible for specific mRNA codon recognition, and the 3' end, to which the tRNAs corresponding amino acid is attached (by aminoacyl-tRNA synthetases). tRNAs cope with the degeneracy of the genetic code in two manners: having more than one tRNA (with a specific anti-codon) for a particular amino acid; and 'wobble' base-pairing, i.e. permitting non-standard base-pairing at the 3rd anti-codon position.
Source: RNAcentral